UGGGGAAUAUUGGACAAUGGGCGCAAGCCUGAUCCAGCAAUGCCGCGUGAGUGAUGAAGGCCUUAGGGUUGUAAAGCUCUUUCGCACGCGACGAUGAUGACGGUAGCGUGAGAAGAAGCCCCGGCUAACUUCGUGCCAGCAGCCGCGGUAAUACGAAGGGGGCUAGCGUUGUUCGGAAUUACUGGGCGUAAAGGGCGCGUAGGCGGCCUGUUUAGUCAGAAGUGAAAGCCCCGGGCUCAACCUGGGAAUAGCUUUUGAUACUGGCAGGCUUGAGUUCCGGAGAGGAUGGUGGAAUUCCCAGUGUAGAGGUGAAAUUCGUAGAUAUUGGGAAGAACACCGGUGGCGAAGGCGGCCAUCUGGACGGACACUGACGCUGAGGCGCGAAAGCGUGGGGAGCAAAACAGGAUUAGAUACCCUGGUAGUCCACGCCGUAAAACGAUGAAUGCUAGACGUCGGGGUGCAUGCACUUCGGUGUCGCCGCUAACGCAUUAAGCAUUCCGCCUGGGGAGUACGGCCGCAAGGUUAAAAACUCAAAGGAAUUGACGGGGUCAUAGCUGUUUCCU
RNAcentral lists this ribosomal RNA (563 nucleotides) under uncultured bacterium. RNAcentral describes it as "partial 16S ribosomal RNA". It matches the Rfam family "Bacterial small subunit ribosomal RNA", at positions 355 to 1375 of the family's 1533-position model. The record is from RNAcentral.